This 414-nucleotide ribosomal RNA is filed under the name Salmonella enterica. RNAcentral describes it as "partial 23S ribosomal RNA". It matches the Rfam family "Bacterial large subunit ribosomal RNA", at positions 1343 to 1757 of the family's 2925-position model. RNAcentral also lists the same sequence under 1 other name. Lineage: Bacteria; Pseudomonadati; Pseudomonadota; Gammaproteobacteria; Enterobacterales; Enterobacteriaceae. The record is from RNAcentral.
GACCAAGGGUUCCUGUCCAACGUUAAUCGGGGCAGGGUGAGUCGACCCCUAAGGCGAGGCCGAAAGGCGUAGUCGAUGGGAAACGGGUUAAUAUUCCCGUACUUGGUGUUACUGCGAAGGGGGGACGGAGAAGGCUAUGUUGGCCGGGCGACGGUUGUCCCGGUUUAAGCGUGUAGGUGUGUGUUCCAGGUAAAUCCGGUUCACUUUAACACUGAGGCGUGAUGACGAGGCACUACGGUGCUGAAGCAACAAAUGCCCUGCUUCCAGGAAAAGCCUCUAAGCAUCAGGUAACAUCAAAUCGUACCCCAAACCGACACAGGUGGUCAGGUAGAGAAUACCAAGGCGCUUGAGAGAACUCGGGUGAAGGAACUAGGCAAAAUGGUGCCGUAACUUCGGGAGAAGGCACGCUGACAC